ACUCCCUCCUCAUGAUGCCCUGAUGCAAAUCUUCAGUCUGUGCAGUGUACUUCUGUCCUGCUGACUGCUCUUGUACUUUGUGUGGAGCAUCAGAGGUCACAUCUCCAGCCUCAGGAUGAUGAACACACUCACUCUUCUGCUGGUUGCUCUCUCUCUGUCCUGUUGUACAGGUCAGAGUAUGGAGUCCAUUCCUUCCAGUUCAGUAGUGAAAAGGCCUGGGGAGACUCUCAGUCUGUCCUGCAGGGGAUCUGGCUUCACAUUCAGCUGCUGCACUAUGAACUGGAUCAGACAACCUGCAGGAGAAGGACUGGAAUGGAUCGGGGAAGGCUGGACAGAUGCCAGUAAAAACACAUAUGCCAGCAGUGUGCGAGGACGUGCAGAAAUCCGCAAAGAUAACAGCAACAGCAUGGUGUAUCUGAGACUGUCCAACUUAAAGCCAGAGGACUCUGCUGUGUAUUACUGUGCCAAACACACACACUGGUUAAAGGAAGCAGAGAAGCUUUACAAAAACUCCACAGAACAUUUGUUUCCAAAGACCUACAGGUGGCAGCAGAACAUAUGAAGUCAGAUGACACUAACUAAGGAGAGUAUGACAGUGACUCUAAACACUCACACAUACAUACAUGCAUCAUAUGAAAACAACAGCUGAUGUUGUGGUUUGUGACUUCCUGU
Molecule: non-coding RNA, 672 nt
Organism: Acanthopagrus latus (yellowfin seabream)
Lineage: Eukaryota; Metazoa; Chordata; Actinopteri; Spariformes; Sparidae
Source: the annotation of a RefSeq genome assembly